UUCAUAUGAACAGCGGCUACAUUAGAAAA
RNAcentral lists this small RNA (29 nucleotides) under Bombyx mori (domestic silkworm). RNAcentral's name for it is "ovarian small RNA-37049". The record is from RNAcentral. Lineage: Eukaryota; Metazoa; Arthropoda; Insecta; Lepidoptera; Bombycidae.